Molecule: transfer RNA, 73 nt
Filed under: Felis catus (domestic cat)
Lineage: Eukaryota; Metazoa; Chordata; Mammalia; Carnivora; Felidae
Also listed under: 1 other name
Rfam family: tRNA
About the family: Transfer RNA (tRNA) molecules are approximately 80 nucleotides in length. Their secondary structure includes four short double-helical elements and three loops (D, anti-codon, and T loops).
Source: Rfam by way of RNAcentral
GCCUGGCUGGCUCAGUCAGUAGAGCAAGUGACUCUUGAUCUUGGGGUUGUGAGUUCGAGCCCCACGUUGGGUG